Punctularia strigosozonata HHB-11173 SS5 is the source of this 90-nucleotide non-coding RNA. NCBI's taxonomy places the organism in Eukaryota, Fungi, Basidiomycota, Agaricomycetes, Corticiales, Punctulariaceae. The record is from Rfam.
GGGCAGGUGGCCGAGUGGUCUAAGGCGUCACGUUUAGGAAACUACUCCGUGAUGGGUUCGCCCUCGCGCGUUCGAAUCGCGUCCUGCUCA